This 253-nucleotide ribosomal RNA is filed under the name uncultured bacterium. Its description in RNAcentral is "partial 16S ribosomal RNA". It matches the Rfam family "Bacterial small subunit ribosomal RNA", at positions 524 to 776 of the family's 1533-position model. The record is from RNAcentral.
UACGAAGGGGACUAGCGUUGUUCGGAAUCACUGGGCGUAAAGCGCACGCAGGCGGACGCGCGCGUGGGGUGUGAAAUCUGGCCGCUUAACGGCCAGGCACCAUCCCAUACGGCGCGUCUGGAGUGAUGCAGAGGUCGAUGGAAUUGCCGGUGUAGUGGUGAAAUGCGUAGAGAUCGGCAGGAACACCCAGGGGGAAACCAGUCGACUGGGCAUCUACUGACGCUGAGGUGCGAGAGCGUGGGGAGCGAACCGG